This 253-nucleotide ribosomal RNA is filed under the name uncultured bacterium. Its description in RNAcentral is "partial 16S ribosomal RNA". It matches the Rfam family "Bacterial small subunit ribosomal RNA", at positions 524 to 776 of the family's 1533-position model. The record is from RNAcentral.
UACGUAGGGGGCAAGCGUUGUCCGGAAUCAUUGGGCGUAAAGCGCGUGUAGGCGGCUCGGUAAGUCCGCUCUGAAAGCCCGGGGCUCAACCCCGGGAGGCGGGUGGAUACUGCUGAGCUCGAGUCCGGAAGAGGAGUGUGGAAUUCCUGGUGUAGCGGUGAAAUGCGCAGAUAUCAAGAGGAACACCUGCGGCGAAGGCGGGUUGCUGGGCCGACACUGACGCUGAGGCACGAAAGCGUGGGGAGCAAACAGG